This 779-nucleotide ribosomal RNA is filed under the name uncultured Neocallimastigales. RNAcentral's name for it is "partial large subunit ribosomal RNA". It matches the Rfam family "Eukaryotic large subunit ribosomal RNA", at positions 23 to 633 of the family's 3401-position model. Lineage: Eukaryota; Fungi; Neocallimastigomycota; Neocallimastigomycetes; Neocallimastigales. The record is from RNAcentral.
AGAGAGAGACAUGCGCGCAUAUCAAUAAGCGGAGGAAAAGAAACUAACAAGGAUUCCCUUAGUAACGGCGAGUGAAGCGGGAAGAGCUCAAAUUUGAAAUCUUCAAGGUUUUACCUUGACGAAUUGUAGUUUAAAGAAGUGUUUUCUGUUGAAGUUUUGGUAAAAGUUCUUUGGAAUAGGACAUCAUAGAGGGUGAGAAUCCCGUAUUUGACCAUUACUUUUCAGCUGUGUGAUACACUUUCAAAGAGUCGGAUUGUUUGGGUAAUGCAGUCCAAAAUGGGUGGUAAAUUUCAUCUAAAGCUAAAUAUUGGCGAGAGACCGAUAGCGAACAAGUACCGUGAGGGAAAGAUGAAAGGAACUUUGAAAAGAGAGUUAAACAGUACGUGAAAUUGUCAAAAGGGAAGCGUUUGACACCAGUGUUGUUUUCUCGAAAAUCAAUUAAAAAAGGCUGGAUUUUGUGUUGUAUUGACCUUUAUCAAGCUUUCUUCACUCUUUUCUUGUCUUUUUUAAUGCACUUUUCGUUUAACAAGUCAACAUCAGUUUCUUUUGUUGUAAAAGGGUCAUUGGAAGGUGGCUUUCUUUUCGGAGAAAGUGUUUAUAGCCUUUGAUCUCUGCAACCGGAGAGACUGAGGUCUGCAGCGUAGACUCUUCGGGGUUAGAUACAUUUGUGCUAAGUUAUAGCUUUUCAUAGACAACUUGUUGACUAUAUCUAGUCAUGUAGCUUACUCGCUUAUGUCUAUUUUACCUACGCUUAGGAUGUUGACAGCAGUAUAGACUGU